AACCAAACACCGCUGUGAAUUUAGCAGUGAUCUUCUAGGGCAAACAGGAGCCCAGAUCAGUGUGUGACACCCUCAGGCAAUUAGAGCAAAGCCUGGCCCUCAAGAGCUAAUGAGCUCACACAUCAGCACCUGCUCUUGGGUGAACCUGAGCAAACCAUGCCCGGCCUAAUCAAACUUCCUUCUCUGGGUCAAGCAAUUCAACAGCUAGACCCGUGCUAGCCUGACACAGGCCAGGGCUUUGGCAGACAGGCCAGGCAGGAGGUAGCCCGUGACUACCAGGAGAGGACAUUUACAUGGUCCAGGACCAUCAUUCCCCAUUAAAGGACAGCUGCCAGGUGCUUUUGCCAGCCACACUGACAACACUGCCCAUUACCUUGGCGUGGCUGGCACAAACUCUGAGCUGGGAUGCACAUCCUUUUCACACUGUACAAGAGCCUGGACCGACGGAAAUGUGUCUCACUGAGCUUAUUCUCAGUUUGCCCAUGCAUACAGUGGGAAUAAAGAAAGAGGAAUGACACCUUUGUUGGAAGUGGGAGAGGGCAGCAGCCACAGGCAGUAGCCACAGUCUCCCUUAGACUGCAGAGAAGGUCACACCAAACAAAAAGCAAACCAGCCUCAAGGAUACACAGAAGGUACUGAUUGCCACCUUUCCUACUUCUGGAGAACCCCAAUGCCCUGCUGUCUUUUGACAAAUGGAUCCCAAAGAGAAGACUGUACCCUCCUAGCUCAACAGCAAAACAUCUCAUCUCAGGUCAGGGCAUUCAGAACUCCCUGAAGCUUUCAAAAAGUUAGAGAGAUCAAGAGAAACACUUUAGCUAGAGUGGUGAAGUAAGAUGAAAACAGAAUCAGAUGAAAACAGAUUGGUACAGGUUGAAAGGGACUUCUGGAGGUCAUCUGGUCCAUUCCUCCCUGCUCACACAGGGCCCCAUGGUCCUUGUUGCCCAGGACCAUGUCCAGACUUUUUUUUUUCACUAUUUCCACAGGUGGAGACUCCACAACCUCUCUGGGCAACCUGUGCCAGUGCUCAGUCACCGGCACAGUGUAAAACUGUUUCCUGAUGUUCAGAGGGAACAUCCUGUGUUCCAGUGUGUACCCAUGGCCUCUGGGCACCACUGGUGUCCUCCUUUGGGCCCUUUUUGAAGAGAGGAGUGAUAUUUUCUUUCCUCCAAUGCUCAGGCACCUCUCUCUCUCAGUCACCAUAAUUAUCCAAAGAUGUCCAGUAUGGUGCCCAGACUGUCAUUUGUGAGGCAGGUCAGGACACACACAAACUCUUUUCUCUGAGGUGUUUGUUUGUAUGUUUUGCUAAUUGACAUAUCAGACUGUGGCCUUCAACUUCAAUUAGUUUUGGUGUUUAUUUGUAUUCAGUGGAGUCAUUUUGAGAAGAACUGAACAACUCUUCUCCCUGGGAAGAGAAGCCCUUAAAUUUCUUCCCCCUGCUACUGGACUGAGACAGUGAAAUAACACUUCAGUUCCCAUAUGUGUCAUGUCUUAAACACAAACCAGGUUUGAGGUUGAGAUGUGCAAAGAUUCAGCCAGUGGAGCUGCUGUUGUGUGAAAGACAUUAACAGAGCUGGUAUUCCAGUACUUCUUUGAUUUCUCAUAAGACGGGAGAAAAAAAAACCCCAUUUACUACUUUGAAAAUCAACAUUUUAAAACAAUUUUUCUAUGCCACCACUUUCACAAGCUAACCCAAAGCUACAGAGUGACUAUAGAAUCUGCUCCAAGGACGCCUUGGAUCCCUUAACCCUUUUGGGAAGUGUAACUUUUGGCUGCUCCUGACACGCAGCCUGCUGCAGACAGCAGUGAACAAACGUCAGAUUUCCUCGUUAGAGCCUGCAUGCAGUGAGUGCAUCAGGGGCUUAACGCUGCCUGAAUGAGGCACAACCGAGAAGGCAACACGAACACUUAGAGGUGUUUAAGAUCUUAUUCAUGCUAGUCUAAUGCAGUCAUACCAGGGAUAAUAUUUGUUUUGGGUUAUGGCCAGAUGACAAUGUAAUAGCCCCAUUUGGGCAGUCUAGACCUUUCAUAUGCGAUAAACGCUUCCCCAGAAUGUAUAAUGUACUAAAAAAAUGCAUACAGAGUGCAUGCUUGUAUCUAGCAGAAAUGCUCUCUAGCCAAAACAGAAGACUGGAAUAGCUUUCCCAGCAUAUGGGAUUAACACUGCCAGAAAAAGAAUAAAAAGCUUGAACAAUAAUUUGCCUGAUUUAUAAAUGUGACAGUAUUGAGAAAUGAGGAGGAACCCAAAUUUUCCAGAAUGCCCUAAAGGAAAGUAACAUGUGAAGUAUUCUUUUCUUUAGAAAUGAGCUCAGUGCCAAAGCUUUGGUGGCAAGAUGCUAAUUUGUUUUCAAUAGGCAGGCCUGAUUUCUUCAGUGUUUCCUUUUUCCCCAUCUCAUCACCUAAAGGCCUGGAAUAUGAAAGGGCAGACAAGCCUAGGAGGAUUUACCAGGUCUUGUUAUAGCACAUCAGUCAUCAAAGGAACACUGAACACUGAUAAUUUUUCUUCCAACUCCAUAUCAUGAUAAAGACAUUUUGCUUUCCAAGUAUGUAUAAAGUGUUUAAUGUUCAUAAAAUAAAAGGUAGGGUUCUAGGACAACUUUUUAAACCCCUCAAAACAGGAUGAGUAUAAACACAAAAGAGAAAUUAUUGCUUCAGCUAAAACCCAAGCCAGCUUUGAUUCAGUUUUUAUCAAAGCUAACUUUGCUUAUAACCACAUCUGUAAACGCAGAAAGCACUACGGCCAUUCAGGCACAUGAGUGGAGUGAGAAGUGGAAGUGGGUCAGGGUGAAGCUAGGAGUGUCUUCCUAGCAGAAUGUGUUCCUUGCUUGUGCAGAAGGGAAGAUUUGAGCCUGCCCACCAGAAUCACCCACAGAGUUCCCAACCAAGUAUGGAGGAAAGGCCAGGAUGGCAGCAGCCUCCUCCUUCUCCCUCUGCUGAAGAUGCAUUUCAUGCUGCUCUCUGAGCACUCAGCGUUAUAAUUCCAAGUGAAAAUUUUACACCAAGCAUGAAUUACAACUACUUGAAGUGAAUCUGUCAUUCUCAUUCAAAUCUAAGUGAGAAAUUUGUAAACUAAGAGAUGUGGGCAGCAUGCAAAGCAGAAUAUGAUAGAGGAAAAUGAAAACUCAGUAUCUGCUAAUGAAGUGGGGUUUGUGUUGUUACCUGAAAAUUUUCAGAGCAAAAAAACCCCCAUUCAACACUUUCAAAACUCAAAACUGUUACAGGAAAAAACCCCCAAAUGUCUGAAAACCAGAUGAUGAAACAAAUGUCUUCUCAGCUGCAUAAUCAAAAAAAGCUCUGCCUUUGGGAGUUGUGCAGAACUGAGGCAACAUGCAAUGGGCACAGGCUCCCCCAAACAGAGACUCCUCACCAAAGGCCACAGAGACCAGCAGCAGGCUAAGCCAUUGGAGGUUCAACCCUGCAAUUUGUGUGACUGGGUCAGUUUAUGUCAACCCUUGGGUUUCCAAACAGAACACUAAGCUGGAUUUGAAAUAGUGACCACUACAGCCUCCAAAAGCUACUUAUCUGAAGGUUAUCCAGAGGCAGGUCUGAUAAAAUCACUAUCUGUUACCCUACUGUGAAAUAACUCUUAUUCUCCCCCAAAACAUUAACACAUACACUUCCUCCCAAAUCACUCUUAUUGAAGUUUGAUAAGUAUGUAGCAUGAGUUGCAUUCAACAGACAGGAUUUCUUUGAUAGUUUAAAUCCCUCCUGGCUUCUUGAAAGGCCUUCUUUUCCUAACUCUAGUGAUAGCACAACUCUUUACCUGGAGGCUAAGACCCAAUGAAAUUCAUGUUCAAAAUCCCCUAAUUAAGAUCACUGAGAUGAACGAGCAAAUUAAAGCAACAAAAUAAGCUCACAUUGCUUGUUUCCUUUCUUGCUUGGAUCCAUACUGAUUUCAGAAACAAAAUUUCAGUUUGCAAAACUAUAAAAGGAUAUGCUGAAACAUGCCCAUUCCUUCAGAAUGGUUUUGCAUUUGCCAUGUGAUUCCUCCUAGUAUUUUGGAAAAUAUAAAUUAUACUAAAAACAUUCUUCUUGACAGAUCAUGCAUGAGACGUAUCUUGAAAACUUCCCAUAUCAGUUGAUGUCAGGCAUUGGAAGAGGCUGCCCAGACAAGUGGUGGAACCACUAAGUCUAGAAGUGUUCAAAAAAUGUGUAGAUGUGGCACUUAAGGACAUGGUUUAGUGGUGAAGAUGGCAGUGUUGGGUUAACAGUUGGACACAAUGAUCAUGGAGAUCUUUUUCAAACUUAAUAAUUCUCUGAUUGUGUCUGCACUGUACCUCUUGUUUCAGAGUUAUGAGAGGGCAAAGGUAGGAAAUUAGUUUUCUUCUGUUUAUUUGGUCAAAGGUUUUCUUUUAGCCAGAGGUGUAAGAAACAAUCAAACUACUGUGAGUACAGCUAAAAGCAUACAGAUAAAAAAGCAUUUCAGCUUUCCUUUUUAUAUGUUUAAAAAAUACAAAAAAUACAAAAACCUUUUAAAAAGAAAUUACAAUGGUUAACCUAUAAACAGGUUACAGCUUGUGUUUACUGUGCUAAACAAAUUUUGUUGGACCAUAUGAAGACUUGCAGAGCUUGUGGCAACCUGACCCACCAGCCAGCUGUGAUCUAACAGAAUUGGUCCCCAUUUCUGCAGUGAUGCCUUCUUAUCCAAGCACCUCCCAGAUGAAGGCAAGGAAAGGGAUGUGCGAGGUGUGGCAGCCUGGAACUGCCUCUCUGGUACCCUGCUUCCUUAGGGAUCCCUUUUCUUCCCUCUGGGGACUGAGACAUCUGUGUACCCAGCCAUGAGAGGCAGAGGAGCUACAUCAGCCUUCAGUGGCUCCAUCACUGCCCACAUGGCCUGCUCCUGCAGAAAGAUGAGCUGUCUGUGGGUUUGGGUAAUACAUGCUUAAGCCAGUGUGUGUUUUGCUGAAUUUUGUGCCAUCUGCUGAAUAACAUACAUAUAAAAGAAACACAUUGUCACUAGACAGUCACUGCAGACAAACAAGGUAUACUAUCUUAAAAAAUCUCAUUUCAUUCCAACAUUUGGCGAAAUAUUUUAAGAUUAAACAGGCUUUCUUUUGCAAUUCAGUGAUAGCAAUGGCAAAUUUCACUUUCACUCAGCACACCUGUUAGGCACUAUGCAGAUCACAAGUGAUUUGCAGAAUUCAGGCUUGGAUACAUCAGAAAUCAAAAGAAGUGUUCUUUGAUAACAAAACCUCCAAAAAUAUAUAGGAAAUACCAUAGCAUGAUGCUUUGGUUGUGUGUUCAAACGCCCACUAUAUUUAUCUUAAAUAUAUUUACAGAAAACUAAGACCUACACUUGGCCAACUACAUUGAAACAGCUUCUUUCCAUUUUUAUGAACCACCAGAGAAAAUUUACUCACAUGCAUUGGAAAUGGGAGCUCUAAUUAAAGCAAAGAAUAAUCUCAUGAGUUCCUCAUGCAGAUGGAAGAAAAGUGUGAUGUACUGUAACAGAAAGUAAACCCAGCAUCAGCAGCAAACCAGCCUGCACUGCAACUUGAAAUCAGAAACCCUUGAUGUUUUUCUGUAUGAAACACCAUCCUAAAAGCAGCACCACGACAGCAAGCUUUGGACUUCUCUGGAAAAUCAACAUUCCUUUGGCAUAGUAUGAUGGACUCUGAAAUUCUUUAUACAAGAAUAUGAACACAUUCAGUUAACCUACAGAAGCUCAGUUAACCUUCACCUUUAAAUCUAAAGGCAAAGAGCUAGACAGAUGAGUGAAUAAAAGUAGAGCAAGAAUUAGGUACAAUGUGUUUAUUGUAUUUUAUUGAUCUCAUUUUUACAUGACUAAGUGGACAGAAGAUUUUCAUUUAUUUCCUGAGGAAGCAUUUAAUUUAUGUGGUCAGUUUUAGAGCACAAAGUGCAUCUCUUUGCAGUAAAUUUACUCCUUUUGUUUUGUUUGCUUGCUCUCUGCAAGUCCCAAAAGCACUGCAUCAGCUUCCAGCAAGGUUGUGUCACUGGCUGCCCCCAGAAACCUGGACGUCAGUUCAAGAUCCAGCAGUCUCAGGCGUACCCGGGUUCCUCUCUGAUAUUUUCUGUGAAGAAAGGGGGAGAGGGGGAAGAAGGAAAAGCAGCUCACCAGUAACCUACAGCAGGAAGCUGUUGAGAAAACUACCUUCAGGGUCCAACACAUUUCUAGAGAGAUUGAACUGAACGAGGUUUAAAUUGAAUUAGAAGUCCUUUCACUAUUUGACAGCCCACAGUAGGAGAGAUAUUGAGUUCCAUCUUUGUAAGUGAAAUACAAAAUAUUACUUUCAUCAUGCAUCAGUUCCUUUUGGGUAGGUUGCUUGACUACCGUGAUGUUCUACAAGUGAAUACAUGAAACUAAUCAAGUUUUUUCUAAUCAAGUCUUUAAAAGUACUAUUUAUAACCAGGGAAGUCCAUGUGGAAAAUCUAUGAAGAAAAUGUGCUUCUUAUUAUUAAUGCAUCUAAUUUUAUAGAAAAUAAACAAAUAAAUAAAUAAAUAAUCUUAAGCACAACUGCCCCAAUUUCAGUUCUGAUCACUGUACAGUCUGCAGAGAACUUGGCUUCAAUUUCUGGACAUGACUUUAGCAUAUAUUUGUAAUGCAAAAUCCAAGCAAUUGUACUUUUGUAAGAAGAAUCACAAUCUUCAAUGCUGCUUCAGUAACUGGAAGAGAUUCCAGAUACUUUAAUCAUACUUAAUCAUUAAAGAAGCUUUUCCAGUCACAGCACAUCUGCUUACAAAAAGAUCACGAUGAACAUCUCUUUGAGGAGCUGACAAAACUGCCAAUUUAUAUGAAUAUAAACAUUUGGGUUUGUGACAGAUGUUCCCUACAGCUAAAACACUUCAAGAGUAUGAUGAUGUAGAAAAAGCAGAAAUAUGAACACAACAUGCAGUGAUGGUCUAUCCACCACAUUUUAGAGCAAGAGGAAAUGAUAGGUUGCUGUAUGUAUAGCAAUCAUAUUCUAUCCACAAAGGUAUUUAUCCUUGAAACAGAUAAAACUAUCCUUUGGUUAAAGCAGAAGCUUGAAGCAGGACCCAGAAACAAAGCAGGCAUUUUAUUAUUUUCAGGAAUAGCGGCCUAGGAGACACAGGACACCAGUGUAAAAGGAAAGAAACCAUCUACUUACUCCACUUUGCAAAAGGACUCGCCUUAUUUUUGUGUAACAAUGCUGGUUUUCAAGAUCAUCUUAUCCAAUGACCAUCAGCAGGUACCACUGACCUUCACCCAACCCCCAAGCACUGUGUUUCUCAAGGAUUCCCGUGUUUUCCUCGUACUACUUCCUAUUGCCAGGUAAAAGUAUUAAACUCACUGAGAAGUAGACAAAGGUGUUUAGUUACAUUCAUAAAUGAAGGUGUAAGAAUUUCUCUAGAACUUAAGAAAAUAAUUUUGCAAGUAGACUGAAAGCUUGAUCCACUUGCACAGAAUUUAUUUACAAUAGCUAUGAUUUUUAACCCUUUGGGCAUCCAAAUUUUGAAUGGAAGGACCCCACCUAACACCCACAUUCAGAGGUGGGAGUCCAGCAGCUGCUGUUUCUGAGCCAUGACUCCUUCUCAAGCCAGUGUCCAGAGCACCCACUGAAGCACCAUCAGAAACUUUGCCUGAACUUAACCAAGGAACAGGGGUCCAAAAAAGCUUUCUCUGUUUUAAAUGCGUACCUGCAGGCUUCUCUCCAGCUCUUCUGGAGCACUAGGUACAAGGUGUACCUUCCCUCAAACAUCCACUUCUAGAUGAUGUUUAGUUAAGUUAGAGGCAACCCAAAUAACUGCUUCAGUGCUCUUUGUAAUUUUUGAACUGUCUUGGAGAAGAACUAGAAAAGAAUCAAAAUGAAGAUCCUUUUCCUUGCUUGAACCCUAAGUCUGUGCAACCACACAUCACCAAUGCAACACAGAAUAUAAGAGCACAGAGAAAGCACACAGCACUGCCUUGCUAAUGGUGCUAAAGAAAUUUUAAAAACAAAUAUAAAAAUUAAAGUUUAUGUCCUGUUGCUACAUUAAAAACAGGGCCUAUUAUCCUUGUAUGCAAAUAUUAAACUACUGUGUCUUAACUUACAAAAAGUAGGUCUUCUCUUAGCUAAUCAUAUCAGUAGAACAGUGAGCGCUUUCAGACUCAAGUGACUUGGAAACUUCCUCCUGAUUGUCUAUAUCACUUUUAUUGCAAUUUGGUCUCUAUGCUGAUCCUUUCACUUUUGUACUGAAGCUUUAAAUCUCUCAAAAUCUUAAUGGUAAAUUAAAGGGUUUAUCCAAAAUUCCCCAAACUCUUCAGUCAAGAUUUUAAACUUGUAAUUUUAAAGUAAUUUUACUAUGUGAAAGAUACAUGAAGAAACAAAAAACCCCAAUAUUUUUACAUAAUAAAACGGGAGGGGGAGGAUAUGGAAUGACAUAUUUCAGCUCCUGUUAAUUAAGAAUGCUGUGGGGGGGGGAAUAUUUUUUAACUUAAAAGUCAUUCCAGGUUACAGCAAAAGGUAUACAAAUGCAGCUGCCUUGGAAAGCGAUGAGCAUGUUAAAACAAGGAGGCUAUAACUAAAAGUGAGGAUACUAAUUAUACCAAUUUUGGCCAAGAAAAUGGGACAGUAGUUUUGCAGAUGUGCAAUUUUACAUGCAAAGGAAGCAUCCUUAUUACUAAAUGGCAUUAAGAACUUUAUUCAAACUCUAAAUUGUAGUUGUAGACAUUAAAGCAUUUUGUUAAACUAUCCAGUAUUUAAAACUGCAUGUGAUCACAAAUUAGCAAGCAGUCCUAUUUCUAUUAAAAUGACUCAAGUUAUUAGUUUAAAAUUUAAGGCAACAAAGCUUCUAUUCUUGGGAACAUUGCUGUAAAAAUAACAAUGCAAUUACAGAAAUGGUUGAGUCUCGCUGGGUCUUGGCUGGUAUUUCCCACUCUUCAAAAGUGCAUUCACAGAUACCUCCUAUUUCAUACUGUAAAAAUACAGGACUGAUAUUUUAAGACAAGCAGAAUAUUUUGGUUCAUAUAUCCUCUACUUUGUUAAGGAUUUUCAAUCUCCAUUACCUCCUUUUGGAACAAUAACCUCUGCAAUACAAAGAUGAAUGAACUUGCUAGGGCUGAGUAUGACCAUUCUCAUCCACUGUCCAUUCUUCAAUCCCCUCUGUCCCACCCCUCAGGAAUGUGCAUUUCUAUAACACGUAGGAAGGAAACUCUUAAACCUGGGGUUUAAUUCCUACACUGAGGAUAUAACUUAGAGAAUUUAAUUUGAUUUUUUUACACUUUUUUGCAUCAUUAUAUAUUAAUGUCCCUCAGCACAGUCUAGUGAUGGCUUUCUGCAAUGAAAGGAAUCCUUGGAUUAUCUUCCAUACAAAAUCAAUUAAUCUAAAACACUCCAAAGACAUGGUUAGAGUUGAGCCAUGGUACUCUCAGUGAAUGCCAUCAGAAGUCUUGAUGCCUUUCAUUUUUGCACUGAGAAUUUCAAAGUGUGUUUUUCAGAUCCAUUAUUCAAGAGGUUUUGUUUCAGUGCCUUAGCACAGUACAGAACCGUUUACAAAAUUCAAAACCUUUUCACUUUCUCUUUUUUUUUUUUUAUUAUGUGAAAGACACCACAUUAUCAACCUCAGAAAAAAUACAAGAGCAGCAAAGGUAGUGAAAUAAUUUGACUAUCACUUUCUCUCCAGAGUUUGUAUUCACCAUUCUUACCACCUUUCAAAUCCACUCAAAAUCACCCUGUAGCUCCUCAUUAGUAAUACUGAAAUGAUAAAGCAUCCCCAGAAGCUAACCCACCUCUAACUAACUGCAGCCAGCAGCAAAGCAGUGCAGCUGAUGUGGAACAAAGCUGUGUGUGUGGAACAAUUCAUUUUGAUUCUAAAAAAUGUUUUGAAGCAUUCCCAGACGCUGCAUGAGCCCACACUGGUCUCAACUUUAUAAAGAAAGGGAUGCCCUACAGCUGGCUUAAGGAGCACAGCUCUGUAUGAGUUUUGUACAGGUCACCCUCCGAUGCCCCACAGUGAAGGAGCUCUGUGAAAGCACAACACUUCCCAGAAACUUCUCCCUCACUGCCACUAUACACAAAAUUCUUGUUCAGAGAAAAUAUGGAUGAAAAAAGCAGACUGCUGUCAAGCUGAAGGCAGCACAUUUCUACAUAAAAAUCUACAUCUUGUAAAGUGGCUUUUUGCAGUGAGGCACACUGCACAAGUAAUGAUGGGGAUGGCAAUCCUGCAUCCAGCAGGUCCAGACAGCAGUCAUAACACACACCCUUUUCCCUCUGAAUGAGCUCCUAAGCAUGGCUGGGGCAAAAAGGCUAAAUCCUGAUUUUGUACAUAGCAGUGAUGGAAGAAAGUGGCAGCAGAAAGGUACCAUGAAUUUGGCCCAGAGUAGAACAUGGACGGUGGAAGAGACACUGGGAGGGCACUGCCCUGGGAUAGCACCCUGCUGACUGCCUUUCUUUAAGGCUGUUAAAGAGAGGACAAAGAACAUGCAUCAAAAUGAAUAACCAUGUAAAGAUCUUGAUCUGUUAUUAGAAAGAUUGAGCUGUCUAUACAGAAAGAAAAUACUGGUUUUAAAAGGUGCUUGAAUCUGUCUGGGAAAAGCCUGUAAUAAUCAGGAAAACAAAGUCCAACUAAUGCAGAUGACAAUGACAAUUUGCAAAUAAUAUUGAUGAACUAAUAGUAAAAACUCCAAGCCCUUGGAGACUUUUCAGCCGUUGAUGGCUUCAAGUGAAGAGAUGUCAAAACAGACAUGCUAGUUCAGUUCAGGAUAACCUGCUGAAAUGUCAUGUCUCAUGAUACAGUGAAGUCCUGAGAGAUGACCUGAAGGUCCCUUUUGGCUUAAAUUUUAUUCAUCCAUUAUUUAUUACCACAGCAUCCAGUCAUUCAAAUAAGGGAUGGAUGCUCAAAAUAGGAUUUUCAAAGCAUCUCUGUUCUCUGCAAUCAAACACUUCACAAAAAUGCUCCAAGGUUGCUGGCUACAUUCUGUCAGAAAAUGCAAUCUCGCUUCUUGUGACUCAUCAACCCAUUACCACUUCAGCUGUAUUUGUUUCCUACUCCAUUUGUUUUCCUCUUUCCUUGAACUAAGAAAGCAAACAUGCUGUCAUUUCUUCUGAGCUAUUCCUGCUUGUGACACCUGCUUAAUAAUUUUUCAGAAUAUUUUUGCCAAAUCCAUACUUCUACAAGGAAACAGACUAUACUCUGCUAGAUUGAAGCAAAGAUCUAGAUUACUCUGCUACAUAAAAGCAGAUAAAAGCCUCUCAUAUUCUUGAAAGCAUUUAGCAGAAUGCUUUAAGAGUGUGUGAAAUGAUCAACUUAAGCAACAGCCAUUGUCACCUACUGUUUUGGACCAACAGUGCAUCAGCAGAUCCUAUGGCAAACAUCCUUAAAACCAGCAGGUUUUAUGCACCUGAGGAAGUCCAAAGCUGAACCCUGCUUUACAGUGACCACCGUCUAAAGCAGAAAUUGGAAAUGAAUACACAAAGAGUUUGGGCAUAUUAGCUAGAUGCUGAUGUGAAAACACCCUGAAGCACUUGAAUAGUCUCCCUAGACAACUGGAGCUUAGAGAAGUGCUAAUGUCACUGCAUGUAUGGACACUUGGUAAAAAAAACCUCCUAAACAGAUUGGUACAAGCUGUAGAGUUUGAGAGUCUGCCCCAUUGUUAGGGGGUAAAAUAAUAUCUCUAGUUAUGCUUAUGGUGCUGUUCAAAGCCAUAAUUUAUUGGUCAAGCCUUGGCAGCUUCAUUCUGUGGGGCUCAAGUGCAGAGACCUUGUCACUCUUCAUUGUUGGUACUGAGAUGCCAGAUAGCUGACUGAAAGUGGCACAGACAUAGCUGAAUGAAACAUGUACAUUUGCACUCCUAUUGCUAAAAGAUGGUAAAUGCAAAGCCUGAUAAGAGUUGUUUUACAAUUGUCACAGAAAAGCAUCAAACAAGCCACUGUGAAGACACUGUCAAGCUCUGCUAUUACCAUGAUAUCAAUAAUCAAUGGCAUUUGUGUCUGUGACAGCAAAAGAAUACAGCCAAAGGUGUCAAAUAUUUCAAUCUAAUUCUGUUCUGGUCUGGACAUUCAGUCUCAGUACAAUUUCUUACUUGUAAAUCACUUCCAAAAAGUAACAUGCUUGUCCUCAAUUCAAACAAAACCCAAAGCAGCCAAUAUUUAAUUAGUAAAGCAAGAAAAAAAACCCACCUUGUUGUAACUUUUGCUACAGUAUGUGCAAGAAUCAAUUUGCAUUCACUAAAACUUCUGGUACAAGAUCAUUCCCCUUUUUAGGGAAGGAAUCCACAGAAUAGUCUGUAUUUUUAAAUGUACUUCAUAUCACAUUAAAUAUGAAUGCUGUAACCUUUUCUCCAUGGCACAGAGAGGUAAGCUUUGACAAAUGAAACUUGCAAGAGGUGGCUCCUGUCAUCUAAGAACUUGUAUCAGACACAGUCAUGUCAUCAUAUAGUAAUUUAUGCCAGUUGCCUUCUCAGCCUAUAAUGUAAAGCAUAUCCUUUAACUUGAGAGGAGAAUGAAAGAAAAAGAAAUAUGAGUCUUUAGUCCAAAUUUUUAUAUUUUUUCCACUGUUUAAACUACAAAAUUAACUAUUUUGAGCUUUGUAACUUACAAAAUGUUAAAAAAAUAAAGACUAUAUAUUUAAAUAUAUAUAAAAAAUUAGCCAAUGAUUUUACAAAACACUAAAAAACCCCAUAGCCCCUUUAAGCUUACAGGCACCACAAGCCAGGCAAACUGCUUAAAAGACGAAAGAUAAAGGUACCCAAGUGGAAAAGAAACAAAAAACCAAACUCAUGUGAAGUAUGCUGUAGCUCACAUUCUCCUAUCCAUCUUUCCACAAGUAAUCACUAUUGUAAUUCCUACCCUUUCUCUUUCCCAUGCUGAGACCCUGGCUCAGUCAGAUACUUUUCAUGAAUGUAGUCCUAAACCUUCAGCCCUCCACAGUUCAAAUUCACUUUCCACAAUACUGUCUUCGUUUUCUUCACAGAUGUGGCCUCAGUCUUAUUCCCUUUCUACACCUACUCCAUUUCUUACAUUGCAACUUCUCUGGCCUCUCACUGUCUCCCUGAGAUCUCAGACCAGCCAUUUGCAGUCUUCUUUUUCUAUUCCACAAAAAACUAUCAGACAUAUUUUCCUGCCCCCUCUUACUU
Molecule: long non-coding RNA, 13031 nt
Organism: Passer domesticus (house sparrow)
Lineage: Eukaryota; Metazoa; Chordata; Aves; Passeriformes; Passeridae
Exons: 3
Source: RefSeq, a predicted model, not a curated record